Molecule: long non-coding RNA, 271 nt
Filed under: Lathyrus oleraceus (garden pea)
Lineage: Eukaryota; Viridiplantae; Streptophyta; Magnoliopsida; Fabales; Fabaceae
Description: Pisum sativum (pea) long non-coding RNA (PSAT_LNC014594)
Source: RNAcentral
UUACACAUAGCACUUGCUUAGGACAUCAGAAGUUCCAAGUAUCCGACACCGGAAAGUCAACGCACUUUCCUCAAUCAAACCUUCAAACCCAAUCAUUCUUGGCACAACUUGCAAACCUAGUAUAUUCCCCCUGCAUUAGCUCGAACAUACAUCAGCAUUUUGCAUGCAUAACACAAUAUCAUAAGUAUCUUCUCACACUCUUUUGACUCAUAGAAAUUCGGAACUUCCCAACCAUUGUUAGAGUUUUCCCCUAGUAAAGUCAACAUAUUUC